CCUACGGGGGGCAGCAGUGAGGAAUAUUGGUCAAUGGACGAGAGUCUGAACCAGCCAAGUAGCGUGAAGGAUGACUGCCCUAUGGGUUGUAAACUUCUUUUAUAAAGGAAUACAACGAGGCACGUGUGCCUUUUUGCAUGUACUUUAUGAAUAAGGAUCGGCUAACUCCGUGCCAGCAGCCGAGGUAAUACGAGGGAUGCGAGCGUUAUCCGGAUUUCUUGGGUUUAAAGGGUUCGUAGGGGGACUGUUAAGUCAGCGGUAAAAGCCCGGGGCUCAACCCCGGCGAGCCGUUGAAACUGGCUGUCUAGAGAUGUCGAGAGGUAUGCGGAAUGCGCAGUGUAGCGGUGAAAUGCUUAGAUAUUGCGCAGAACUCCGAUUGCGAAGGCAGCAUACCGGCGGCGAUCUGACGCUGAGGCACGAAAGCGUGGGUAUCGAACAGGAUUAGAUACCCCGGUAGUC
RNAcentral lists this ribosomal RNA (459 nucleotides) under uncultured bacterium. RNAcentral's name for it is "partial 16S ribosomal RNA". It matches the Rfam family "Bacterial small subunit ribosomal RNA", at positions 338 to 795 of the family's 1533-position model. The record is from RNAcentral.